RNAcentral lists this ribosomal RNA (484 nucleotides) under uncultured bacterium. RNAcentral describes it as "partial 16S ribosomal RNA". It matches the Rfam family "Bacterial small subunit ribosomal RNA", at positions 30 to 507 of the family's 1533-position model. The record is from RNAcentral.
AUUGAACGCUGGCGGCAGGCCUAACACAUGCAAGUCGAGCGGAUGAAGGGAGCUUGCUCCUGGAUUCAGCGGCGGACGGGCGAGUAAUGCCUAGGAAUCUGCCUGGUAUUGGGGGAUAACGUCCGGAAACGGGCGCUAAUACCGCAUACGUCCUGAUGGAGAAAGUGGGGGAUCUUCGGACCUCACGCUAUCAGAUGAGCCUAGGUCGGAUUAGCUAGUUGGUGGGGUAAAGGCCUACCAAGGCGACGAUCCGUAACUGGUCUGAGAGGAUGAUCAGUCACACUGGAACUGAGACACGGUCCAGACUCCUACGGGAGGCAGCAGUGGGGAAUAUUGGACAAUGGGCGAAAGCCUGAUCCAGCCAUGCCGCGUGUGUGAAGAAGGUCUUCGGAUUGUAAAGCACUUUAAGUUGGGAGGAAGGGCAGUAAGUUAAUACCUUGCUGUUUUGACGUUACCAAAAGAAUAAGCACCGGCUAACUUCGUG